RNAcentral lists this ribosomal RNA (307 nucleotides) under uncultured bacterium. RNAcentral describes it as "bacterial SSU rRNA". It matches the Rfam family "Bacterial small subunit ribosomal RNA", at positions 492 to 793 of the family's 1533-position model. The record is from RNAcentral.
ACCGGCUAACUCCGUGCCAGCAGCCGCGGUAAUACGGAGGGUGCGAGCGUUAAUCGGAAUUACUGGGCGUAAAGCGCAUGCAGGCGGCCUGUUAAGUCAGAUGUGAAAGCCCGGGGCUUAACCUCGGAAUUGCAUUUGAAACUGGCAGGCUAGAGUCUUGUAGAGGGGGGGUAGGAAUUUCAGGUGUAGCGGUGAAAUGCGUAGAGAUCUGAAGGAAUACCAGUGGCGAAGGCGGCCCCCCUCGGACAAAGACUGACGCUCAGAUGCGAAAGCGUGGGGAGCAAACAGGAUUAGAUACCCCUGGUAG